CAAAGUGUAGCUUAAAUAAAAGCAUCUAGUUUACACCUAGAAGAUAUCCUAACUCACAGAUCACUUUGA
The sequence is a transfer RNA, 69 nucleotides long. It matches the Rfam family "tRNA". Rfam says of the family: Transfer RNA (tRNA) molecules are approximately 80 nucleotides in length. Their secondary structure includes four short double-helical elements and three loops (D, anti-codon, and T loops).